UAAGGAAUAUUGCUCAAUGGGAGAAAUCCUGAAGCAGCAACGCCGCGUGGAGGAUGAAGGGUCUAUGACUUGUAAACUCCUGUAAAGAAGGAAAAAAUUCCCAUUUGAUGGGAGAUGAUGGUACUUCUGGAGUAAGCCCCGGCUAACUACGUGCCAGCAGCCGCGGUAAUACGUAGGGGGCAAGCGUUGUCCGGAUUUACUGGGUGUAAAGGGUGCUCAGGCGGAUUUGUAAGUCAGAGGUGAAAUCUUACAGCUUAACUGUGAAACUGCCUUUGAUACUGCAAGCCUAGAGUAUGGAAGAGAGUGGUGGAAUAUCUGGUGUAGCAGUGAAAUGCGUAGAUAUCAGAUAGAACACCAAUGGCGAAGGCAGUCACUUGGUCCAUUACUGACGCUAAAGCACGAAAGCGUGGGUAGCAAACA
This 420-nucleotide ribosomal RNA is filed under the name uncultured bacterium. RNAcentral's name for it is "bacterial SSU rRNA". It matches the Rfam family "Bacterial small subunit ribosomal RNA", at positions 355 to 774 of the family's 1533-position model. The record is from RNAcentral.